This 439-nucleotide long non-coding RNA is filed under the name Ananas comosus (pineapple). Its description in RNAcentral is "long non-coding RNA (ACOM_LNC044819)". Lineage: Eukaryota; Viridiplantae; Streptophyta; Magnoliopsida; Poales; Bromeliaceae. The record is from RNAcentral.
UAAAUCAGUGAUAAAGUUAAAACUAAAAGGUACUAAAGUGAAUAUUCGAUAAACCUAGAUGGGGUAUCUGAAGUUUUUUGUAUAUAAUUUAACGAAAUAUUAAUGGAGAAGCUGACGAAAAGAUAAAAUGAAACCACAUGAGGUUUAAUUUAGUAUUGAGGUCUAUCUAACGCUAUUGAGUUAAGAAAAAACAUAUAGAGAUAUGUUUCUGCGUUCUUCGAUGGGACUGCAGAAAAUAUAUUGUAUCUGACUAACCGCAAUAUACUGAACGCAAUAUUACGUUUGGAAACAAACACGGUAUUUUUUCAUUGUUGUUUCUCACCACACGUAACGCAAUCUCCCGCAAUCCCAAACGAAGAUAUAUUUUAAACCACACAAUAUCAAAAUCAGAAAGUAAAAAACCACAUGAAUGGUUUUUAAAGUUUACCCUAAAUUUAAU